UGGGCAGCGAGGCGGUGCGGCCGGAAGCGAAGGGGCCGUGAGGUCAACAGUCGGUAAUCGUUUAUCGAGUUUCACUCUUGUUGCCCAGGCUGGAGUGCAAUGGCGUGGUCACAGUUUACUGCAGCCUCGACCUCCGGGGUUCAAGCGAGCCGCUCGCCUCCGCCUUGUGAGUAGCUGGGACUACAGGUCUUUGGAUAAUAACUUGUCCCUUUCAACCGAUUGCCAAUGAGAAACUUUAAAAUCUACCUAUGACCUGGAACACCCCCACCCACCCCAUUUCAAGUUGUCCCACCUUUCUGAACUGUCACGUGUGUCCGUAGAGAAGACCACCUAAACAGGUUUUGUGUGUGAGUGGCGGUCUGAACGGAGAAGUUCAAUAGUUUUGAUUGCAGAGCCUACGCAGGAGAGAUAAUGGAACAAAUUCCACUGAGCUAUCCUCAAGGUCACAGAUUCCAUCCUCUGUCACCUCCAUUUCAUUGAGAUGAUAUAUUGAGCCCAUGCGUAGCCUUUUAUUUGAGAUUUCCAAGGCCAGCAAUGUUCUCUUCCUCUCCCUUUUCUUUGUAUAAAAAUUCAUUCUCAAGAAAAACUCUAUUAUCAAUUGUUUACAUGUCACUAUGGCUAAGACACUAAAAGCCCUCUCCCUGCAAAACUGGUGGCAAAGCUCUCUAGAGAACCACAAACUGUUGCAUCCUUACUACGUGGGGCAGCAGCAAGCCCAGGUGAAGAUGUGCAUGUUCUUGGAGAAAGUAUUAAUAACAUACCGACACUUACAUCUGGGUGAAUAAUUUCAUCAAAUCUCUUAACUCACACUUGCACAAACUUCACCUGGAAAGAGAGAGGGAAAGCUGUGCCAGAAAUAAAUGGUUAUUGAGGUCA
Molecule: long non-coding RNA, 876 nt
Organism: Gorilla gorilla gorilla (western lowland gorilla)
Lineage: Eukaryota; Metazoa; Chordata; Mammalia; Primates; Hominidae
Exons: 6
Source: RefSeq, a predicted model, not a curated record